AGAAUCAACGCUGGCGGCGUGCCUAACACAUGCAAGUCGAACGCGAAAGUCCCGCAAGGGAUAAGUAGAGUGGCAAACGGGUGAGUAACGCGUGGGCGACCUACCUUCGAGUGGGGGAUAACCUUCCGAAAGGAGGGCGUAAUACCGCAUGACAUCCCGUGUUUGGAUACACGGACAUCAAAGCCGGGGAUCGCAAGACCUGGCGCUUGGAGAGGGGCCCGCGUCCGAUUAGCUAGUUGGUGAGGUAACGGCUCGACCAAGGCCUCCGAUCGGUA
Molecule: ribosomal RNA, 275 nt
Filed under: uncultured soil bacterium
Lineage: Bacteria
Description: partial 16S ribosomal RNA
Rfam family: Bacterial small subunit ribosomal RNA
Source: RNAcentral